UGGGGAAUAUUGGAUAAUGGGGGCAACCCUGAUCCAGCCAUGCCGCGUGCGUGAAGAAGGCCUUAGGGUUGUAAAGCGCUUUCACUGGUGAAGAUGAUGACGGUAGCCAGAGAAGAAGCCCCGGCUAACUCCGUGCCAGCAGCCGCGGUAAUACAGAGGGGGCAAGCGUUGUCCGGACUUACUGGGCGUAAAGCGCACGCAGGUGGUAGCGCAAGUGGGGUGUGAAAGCCGCCAGCUUAACUGGCGGAGGCCAUCCCAAACUGCGUCACUUGGGGCCUGUAGAGGUAUGUGGAAUUGCCGGUGUAGUGGUGAAAUGCGUAGAGAUCGGCAGGAACACCCAGGGGGAAACCAGCAUACUGGACAGGUCCUGACACUCAGGUGCGAUAGCGUGGGGAGCGAACCGGAUUAGAUACCCGGGUAGUCC
RNAcentral lists this ribosomal RNA (424 nucleotides) under uncultured prokaryote. Its description in RNAcentral is "bacterial SSU rRNA". It matches the Rfam family "Bacterial small subunit ribosomal RNA", at positions 355 to 796 of the family's 1533-position model. The record is from RNAcentral.